Molecule: long non-coding RNA, 4323 nt
Organism: Mustela putorius furo (domestic ferret)
Lineage: Eukaryota; Metazoa; Chordata; Mammalia; Carnivora; Mustelidae
Source: Ensembl
AAAAUUUUAGGAAAAAAAAAAAUCAUGCCCAGUCACGUGUUCCUUCUGCCAUCCCUGCAGGCCUGUCACCAUCUGCUCCGGGCCAGCUGGAGCGCCCACAGCUGCAGAUCUUCCCCGAAAGCACUGCUGAUCAUUUCUGCAUUUACUGGGUUUGCUCUCUGUGCCUGGAAGGACCUCUCCUGGUCGUCUUGUCCGUGUCAGAGGGAGAGUGCGCGGGCUGGAAAUCGAGACCCUACUGAGCCCCCAGAGCCCCCAGGUACUUCCAGCCGUCGUCCAGGGGAUCACCUCCCAGAGCUGAGACGGCGUCACCCUCUUACCGGCCCGAAGACUGGUGCCAGCUCUGUCAGGAUCGGUGGCUUACGGCUCGAACACCAAUAUUUGAGAGAGAAAUGAUGGGGGAAAGGAAGGGUUGCUUUAUUCUGGAAACCAGCAGCCUGGAAAAAGGUUGAACUCAAGUCCCAAAGACCCACUUCCCCGACCAGGAGAAGACAUGGGCAGGGCAGCUGCCCGGAGCCCCCGGGGCCGCUGGGUGUGGACUUGACCCUGAACAGACCUGCCGGAAUCUGUGACGGCUGUUCUCAGACUCGGUCACGCCUCAUCUUCUUGGAGCAUCUGGUUCUUCACCCCGUGAGGCCAGUGGUCUGCAGACGUCAAGCAGAGCUGUUAGCUCUGCUAGGGACGGAGGACUUAGGUCAUCAAGAAGAGAGCGUGAGCAAGGGUCUGUGUGCGGAGGGUUAACAAAGUUCAAGAACAGCUAUAGCAGGCAGAAUGAAAAUUCUCACAACUCCAGUGUGUAUGAUGGCUCGAAGGCAGGGGCCCGGCCUGCAGGUGGGCAGCCCAGCAGACGGAGGGCUGGGGAUGGGGGGGUUGCGGGGGGUGCAGCCAGCCCCUCCCUGAUCUCGUGGACGUGCAUUUCUGCUUCUCCAACAGGUGGUCUUGCCGUCACACAAACCCCCUGCUCAGCAAGCGGGUGAUCAAGGCCACGCAGCCACCCUAAACCUGCGGCCAGCCUGUCUGUUGGCGUUGGCCGGGCUGCCCCUGCUGUGGCGGCGGAGCCCAUCUCCUCGCGUGAGGGAGACGCUUCUGAUGGCGACAGCUCAGCACCUCUUCUGACCCUGGAAGAAAGACGCCCGCUCCCUCCGGAAGCAAACCCAGGGGCAGUCAUGGAGGCCCCGCGGGAUCGGAGCUCUGGUGUGUUACAGGUGGGAACAGGGACACCAAGGUGUCCGGUAAGGACUGACCUCUGGUUUGCCAGCCUUCCACACAUGCUAGACCCCGGGCAGUGCCAUCCACCGCAGCAAAAGCAAAGCCAGACGCAGCAUAGAGGACCCGGCGGUGAUGUGGACCGAGAGAGCCACAGCCUCCUGGGGGGUCCUCUCCCACUGCAGGUCGGCGAGUCCGGACGGCGUCCGGGAGGCCUGCUCUUCCUAAAAGGGUCUUUGCUAAAAACCUUGAAAGAGCACAAACUCACCUGGAUCUCUCCCCUUUGGAGAGAGACCACGUUCAGGUAAGGAAAGGUCCUGGGGCAGGGAAGCCGGUGCAUGGACAGGGUGGAGGGCGUUGGCUGGGCAGCACAGGUGUGACUGGGGAAGGCCUGGGACCGCCGGGGCCUCGCCUCGCGGUGGGGAGCGUCCAGCGGCUUACGAGGGUCGUCAGCAUUGGCCCCGGGGACUAGAGAUGAACUCGUUGCCGGCGAGACCGAGAGGUCUGGGACCCCGUGACCAGACCCGACGGCUGGAGAGGUUCCCGAAUUUGCAGUGGGAAGCGAGCAUCGUCUUCUCCAGAAGAGAGAGGAAGUAAGACAGGGCCGAAGCCAGAAAGGGCACGGGCCUGGCGUGGUUGUCCGGGACAAGCGGCCCGUCCGCUGCCCUCUGCCUCUGCUCUGCGAAGUCCUGACUCUCGGGUUGUCGGGGGCGUGAGGGCUGCUCAGGGCUCGGCGCUUUCUUCAGAGACUGGGGGUCUGUCCCCUGGGGUUCCGUUGGCAGCACAAGGGUUGGUUAACAGCACCUGGGGGGGCCUUCCAGGUGGGCGUGAAGAGACGCACGAGGAUGCCUCGGCCGGAGACGCCGACUCUCCGCGAGGCCACACGCGAGGCUGCAGGGCUUCAGCUCUGUAAGAAGGUGGCCUCAGCGCGUUCUUCCUUUCCCUUUCUCUUUCCUUUCCUUUUUUAGGGUUUUAUUUGUGUAUUUAUGUUUAUUUAUCCCAGAGAGAGUGCGCGUGCGUGCGUGUGAGCAGGGGGAGGCACGGAGGGAGAGAGGAAGGCAGACAAUCUCAAGCAGACUCCCCACUGAGCCCAGAGCCCAACGUGGGGCUCGAUCUCACGACCCUGAGAUCACGACCCGAGCCGAAAUCCAGAGUUGGACUCGUAACCGACUGAGCCGCCCGGGCACCCCCAGCCUGGUUAUUUCUCAUGGAAGCAGUGAGGGCCACGCAAUAUUAAAGUGUCUCUCCCUUUCUUAGCUGCGGGUCGGAAGAAGUAGGAACCAGGCGCACUGCGUAUCCUGUGGUCCCUUGAGGGGUGAGUCUUGGAGCUGUGAAAGGACAAACCUGAGAAUCCAGACCAGCAACGGAGCCCCCUGUCGGGUGUUCCCAGGCUGUCCAUGAACUUUGCCGAGAGUCUCACUGGAGCCAUCCGUGUGCUCGUUGGCUCUGAGGGCUGAGGGUGCUUCCAGAGUUUCACAGGCUGAGGGGUAGGUAGGAACGACCCUGUCCCAGAGGACCUCAGCCCCAGAGGACCUCAGCCCCGGAGCAACAGCCCACCUACAAGGAUGACCAGCGGCUGUCCUACGGAUCCAGGAUCCAGCGAGUGAGUGCCCUGCCCUGAGGAAGUACUCAAGGGUCGGAAUUCUGCAGGGAUCAGAUAGGGAGAAAAGGUAAUGGUUUAAGGCUCCGCAAAGGUUAUAGCUUGAGGGAAAGUGUCCUUCUGUGCAGUGCAACGGUGUGGUUCAGGAGUCCCCGGAGAGCAGCACGCCCAAGCCAUUGCCCGAGCCCGUUGCUGAAUUUCUCUGCAGAUGAGGCCACGGGCAGCUGCGUCCCGGUGAAAGGGCAGUGUCUGCAGGGGACCGAGGCUCGGCUGCCGUCACCGUGUGUCCGAUGUCACCGUGUGUCCGAUGGGAGCUCGCUGUGGCCGAGCUGACAAGAGCAUCUGCUUAUUGCCGUGACAUGCAUUUAAAAUUACGACUGAUGUGUUAUAUCAGGACAGGUGAGAUGGCCAGAAAUUUCACAUCACUUCUGGAACAUUUAUAACAUAUACCCAUACAGACAUAGGGUAAAGAGGGCUUCCCGUGCAAUUUAACAUCUCAAAUAAGCCGAGUUAGUUUAAAUUCUCCUUUAUAUAAGGAGAGAGAACAAAUCUUAAGAUAUUUCAGGGACCCUCUGUAAAACUCAAAGUUAAUUCAAGUUCCAAAAGGUUUUACCUGGAAUUUGAAUUUUGGAAAGUUUGUCAAAAAGAUCAGAAGAUUUUCAAGCACUUAGGCAAAUAGGAUCAUAGGUUGCCAUGAACCGAUAUUUGGUUAACCCUUUAACCAAAGUGACGAAGGCUUCAGAGGCAAGCGCAGAAGGUCACGAACAUCUUAGCAAAACUUAACCCUUGAUAUCGAGAGGACGAGGUUUCCUUUGGCCGGCGAAGGCCUGACAGACGUGGGAAAUUAUUUUGGCAAAAUGUAUGAUGCUUGUUUUCUGGGCAGAUAAUUUGGAUAAAUAGAGGAAAGGCUGUCACAGUCUCUUACCAGGAGCAGACCCGUGUCCUUCCAGAAGAAAGGAAGUCAGGUCCCAGGUUUAUGCACAGACACGACUGAUGUUGAAGCUUGUUUUUCAACCUGAGCACAUGGGGUGCCUGGGUGGCUCAGAGGGUUAAGCCUCUGCUUUCAGCUCAGGUCAUGGUCUCGGGGUCCUGGGAUCGAGCCCCGCAUCGGGCUCUCUGCUCAGCGGGGAGCCUGCUUCCUCCUCCCUCUGCUGUCAUUUCUUCUGUUUGUGCUGUCGUUUUCUGGCAAAUAAAUAAAUGAAUAAAUAAAAUCUUCAAAAAACAAAAAAAUUCACUCACUCUCUUCCAGUUCAUCAAACACAGAAUCUCUCCCACAACAUUCCUUCUCCACGGACCUUCUACCGCUUUUUAUUCUAGGGUGUUCCCUGUUCUCAUUCCCUUUCUGAAGUAACCGGCUUUAGGACGAAAUUACUUUCAUUUCCCUCCACAAAGUGUAUUUCCUCUCCAAAUGCCUUCUUUUACCAAAAAUACACAUCGCACCCCCUUUUCCUGGCGUAUGGAGAUAUUUUCUUAUUUCUACCAGUUUUAAUUAGAUGUUAGUUAGAGUGUUGAAUCCUUAG